GACAACAGAUUGUACCACUUAACAAUAACGUAAUGAAAUAAUCACAAACUGCAACAGGUUCCUGUCUGCUCCACUGCUGUUGGGGUGCUGGUGGUGGCCCUUUGUGACACGGCACAUGGUGUCAUGGCCCUUUGUGAUGUGGGACGUGGUGGUGGCCAGAGACUCUUGUGACAUCAGGGAGCUCUGCCAGGGCUGAGGGUCUCCAAGGGGUGUGGAGCCCUGGGGUGCUCAUUCCCAGGAUAGCCGCUCUCUGAGGAGGAAGCAGCUCCCUGGCUCUGUCUACGCCAGACACUAACAGUGAUAUCCAUUGGAAGUACCGACAGUGACAGACAACGACAGCAAGGAGGACAAAACACACUCCACCUCCCGGUCCCACAGCUCCUUGCCCAGCUGGCUGGAAGCCACCAGCGAGCCGUGGUCAGGGGCAGUGGGCAGCUCAGUCCUGCCGCUGUCACAGACUGAGAAGGUAGAGAGGAUCUUGGCCAAAAUGGGCCAAAAGCUUUCCCGGAGGGAAGGUGUGAAAGACUCCCAAAAGAGGGAUGUUCCAGGAGCCGAAGAAAUGUCCCAGCGGGGAGACAGGAGCAGCCAAGAGCUGUACCAAGGCCAGAGUCCCACGGAGGCCGAGCCGGCAGCUGCUGCCCCAGCUGGAGAUGCUGAGGAGGAGGAGGAGCCAGGGUCGGCAGUGGCAGAGCUGGCACAGGAAGGUCGCCUGGAGGACUGGAUUUGGGACAGUUUCUCAGAAUCCAGCAGUGAGGAAGAGAGCCCGGUGGCUUCCCCGCACAGCCCCCCCGGCCCCUUGUCUGCCCUGCCGGGAGCCCCAGCCCCCAGGGAGGAGCCGGGCUGGGCAGUGGCAGAGCUGGCACAGGAUGACAGCCUGGAGGCCUGGGUUUGGGGAAGUCUCUGGGAAUCCGACAGUGAGGAAGAGCUGUGCGAGAAGACAUUGUCUCUUGUCCAAGAGCUGUCCCAGAAGGAGGACAAUGUGAGCUCCAGCUCUGGGGAGAAGCCUGUGGGCCCAUUUAAGGAGGGGGACACCCAGCCUUCUCCCCCAGAGGGGCCCAGCUCUGCCAGCCCCGUGGGUACAGAGGUGGCAGCAGAGGCAGCCCCUGCCCUGCCCAGCACCUCUCCUGCCCCCGGCAGUCCCACAGAAACCGAGCCGGCAGCUGCUGCCUCGUCCGGAGCUUCUGAGGAGGCAGCAGCGGGGUCAGGGCUGGCAGUGCAGGAGAGGAUGGACGACGAUGACGAUGAGGAAAUGAAAUAUUGGCAGCACUUGGAUGACCUGGAGCCUUUCCUGAUUAGAGAACCAGAGCUGUCCCAGGAAGCGUCUGACUCCAAACAGUGCACGGGGGAACAUCUGCCCCAAGGGGAAGCUGAGGAAGUCAUGAGCCGCCACCAACUCUCUGGGCAGAAAGAAUAUUUGGAGCAAGACCGGUCCCAGGGAGAAGUCAGCAGCUCCCAAGACCCCUCGGACUGGGAAGAAUGCAACGAGCAAGUGCUGUCCGGAGGAGAUGUCAUCAGCUGCAAAGAACUUUCGGACUGGGAAGAAGACCUUGGCCAAUAUGUGUCCAGAGGGAAUGGCAGCAGACCCUCAGGACUCUCCAGCUGGGACGACGACAGUGACACAGGGCUUGUGCAGGAGAACUGGCCCGAGCACGUCAUCUUGGCCAAGCCCUUGUGCCCAGAGGACGAUGAGUGGGACGAUGUGAGCCUCCUGGAGCUGCCCCCAGAAGACGGCAAAGGCCAGAAAUGGAAAGUUUUUGUGGCAGAGGGGCUCCCAGUGCCCGUCCCUCGGGAGGCCUGGGCUGAGUGCCCGGCACAGGAGCCGUGCAGCCAAGGGCCGCCGCCUGCCCCACACAGCCCCCCCAGUCCCUGGCCUGCCCGGCUGGGAGCCCAGGCCCUCCGCGGGCAGCCGGCUGCCCCCAGGAAACGUCCCUCCCGCUUCAGGCGGGCACUGCGGGCACUGCGGGGGCUGUUCCGCUGACCCUGCCUCAGGCCAUGCACUGAGGAGUGAAAGAGACAUGGAAAAAGGUUAAGAGGAUGAAGAGAAGGAAGGUGAAGAACAGGAAGAAGAUGAAGAUGGCCGCUCCUGCCAGUCCCGCUCCUCUGUGUCGGAGCAGCAGCUGUUCGGUUCGGCUCAAGGGGCUCAGAGAUUGCUGCUGCAGCUCCUCCAAGCCAGGGAAGAGAAAAGCCUUUGGAUGGGCCAGGCAAGCCAAGCAAAGCCCAACCAAGCAGAGCCACGAAGGCCUGGGCAGUGAGGCUUGGAAAAUGCCCACCCAAAGAGCCCAAAGCUCCCCCAUCCCUGCCCCGCACACACCUGGCCCCGGGCUGGAAGGUGCAAUAACCAUUUCUUGGGCACAAAGCAGAGGCUCCUGGAACAGACUCUCAGCACAAACCCCUCCAGGAACAUGGCAAAGAAGACAAAGACAAAGAAGAUGAAGACGAAGACACAGAAAAUGAGGACGAAGAGGAUACAGCAGAUGAAGAAGACGAAGACAGUGAAGAAGAUGAAGACAAAUAGGAUGAAGAACAUGAAGAAGACAGAAAAGACGAAGAAGACAAAGAUGAAGACUAAAAAGACAAGACAGAGAACGUUUAUUUAAGAAUAGAUAGAUGAAGUAUAGUAAUAAGAAUUUAGAGAUACUUAGAAGAAGAGUACUAAGAAUAGGAAUUUCAAAAUAUGUAGAAGAAGAAUAAUAGGAAGAAGAAUUUUAAAAUAUGUAGAAGAAGAAAAAGAAUAGGAAUAGGAAUAAGAAUUUUUACAUAUGUAGAAGAAGAAGAAUAGGAAUAGGAAUAAGAAUUUUAAAAUAUGUAGAAGAAGAAUAGGAAUAGGAAUAGGAAUAAGAAUAUAAAAAUACAUAGAAGUAGCAAACAAGAAGAAUAGUAAAGAGCAGGAAGAAGAAGAACCAUAAAAAGAAUAAGAAUAGAAAAGUGAAGAGAAAAUUGAAAGAAUAAGUAAAACUGACAAAUAAUUUAUUGUUAUUAGAUAUUGUAUAUUUAUAUUACAGUCUAUGCAAUAAAAACAUAAAUGUACCAUAUGCUGUAAUCACAAUGCAUCGUAAUGCCCCCACGCUGUUCCCGUUAUUGAAGAAUCUGUGUG
Molecule: long non-coding RNA, 3094 nt
Organism: Taeniopygia guttata (zebra finch)
Lineage: Eukaryota; Metazoa; Chordata; Aves; Passeriformes; Estrildidae
Source: Ensembl